This 301-nucleotide ribosomal RNA is filed under the name uncultured bacterium. RNAcentral's name for it is "partial 16S ribosomal RNA". It matches the Rfam family "Bacterial small subunit ribosomal RNA", at positions 509 to 807 of the family's 1533-position model. The record is from RNAcentral.
CAGUCGCCGCGGGAAUACAGAGGGUGCAAGCGUUAAUCGGAUUUACUGGGCGUAAAGGGCGCGUAGGUGGUUAUUUAAGUGAGAUGUGAAAUCCCCGGGCUUAACCUGGGAACUGCAUCUUAUACUGGGUAACUGGAGUGCAAUAGAGGGUAGUGGAAUUUCCGGUGUAGCGGUGAAAUGCGUAGAUAUCGGAAGGAACACCAGUGGCGAAGGCGGCUCACUGGACGACUGUUGACGCUGAGGUGCGAAAGCGUGGGGAGCAAACAGGAUUAGAUACCCCGGUAGUCCCUGUCUCUUAUAC